UGCAAGUCGAGCGGUAGAGAGAAGCUUGCUUCUCUUGAGAGCGGCGGACGGGUGAGUAAUGCCUAGGAAUCUGCCUGGUAGUGGGGGAUAACGUUCGGAAACGGACGCUAAUACCGCAUACGUCCUACGGGAGAAAGCAGGGGACCUUCGGGCCUUGCGCUAUCAGAUGAGCCUAGGUCGGAUUAGCUAGUUGGUGGGGUAAUGGCUCACCAAGGCGACGAUCCGUAACUGGUCUGAGAGGAUGAUCAGUCACACUGGAACUGAGACACGGUCCAGACUCCUACGGGAGGCAGCAGUGGGGAAUAUUGGACAAUGGGCGAAAGCCUGAUCCAGCCAUGCCGCGUGUGUGAAGAAGGUCUUCGGAUUGUAAAGCACUUUAAGUUGGGAGGAAGGGUUGUAGAUUAAUACUCUGCAAUUUUGACGUUACCGACAGAAUAAGCACCGGCUAACUCUGUGCCAGCAGCCGCGGUAAUACAGAGGGUGCAAGCGUUAAUCGGAAUUACUGGGCGUAAAGCGCGCGUAGGUGGUUUGUUAAGUUGGAUGUGAAAUCCCCGGGCUCAACCUGGGAACUGCAUUCAAAACUGACUGACUAGAGUAUGGUAGAGGGUGGUGGAAUUUCCUGUGUAGCGGUGAAAUGCGUAGAUAUAGGAAGGAACACCAGUGGCGAAGGCGACCACCUGGACUAAUACUGACACUGAGGUGCGAAAGCGUGGGGAGCAAACAG
RNAcentral lists this ribosomal RNA (724 nucleotides) under Pseudomonas sp. Y4_344_3. RNAcentral describes it as "bacterial SSU rRNA". It matches the Rfam family "Bacterial small subunit ribosomal RNA", at positions 56 to 775 of the family's 1533-position model. The record is from RNAcentral. Lineage: Bacteria; Pseudomonadati; Pseudomonadota; Gammaproteobacteria; Pseudomonadales; Pseudomonadaceae.